RNAcentral lists this ribosomal RNA (330 nucleotides) under uncultured archaeon. RNAcentral's name for it is "bacterial SSU rRNA". It matches the Rfam family "Archaeal small subunit ribosomal RNA", at positions 593 to 922 of the family's 1478-position model. The record is from RNAcentral.
UAGGGGACGAGAGAGGCAGACGGUAUCCCCGGGGUAGGGGUGAAAUCCUAUAAUCCCGAGAAGACCACCAGUGGCGAAGGCUGUCUGCUAGAACGCGCCCGACGGUGAGGGAUGAAAGCUGGGGGAGCGAACCGGAUUAGAUACCCGGGUAGUCCCAGCUGUAAACGAUGCAGACUAGGUGUUUGGACGGCCACGUGCCGUUCUAGUGCCGCAGGGAAGCUGUUAAGUCUGCCGCCUGGGGAGUACGAUCGCAAGAUUGAAACUUAAAGGAAUUGGCGGGGGAGCACCACAAGGGGUGAAGCUUGCGGUUUAAUUGGAGUCAACGCCGGG